Molecule: ribosomal RNA, 516 nt
Filed under: Vishniacozyma victoriae
Lineage: Eukaryota; Fungi; Basidiomycota; Tremellomycetes; Tremellales; Bulleribasidiaceae
Description: eukaryotic LSU rRNA
Rfam family: Eukaryotic large subunit ribosomal RNA
Source: RNAcentral
UAAUCUAUAGAGGCGUUUUCCGCGCCGGACCGCGUCCAAGUCUCUUGGAAUAGAGUAUCAAAGAGGGUGACAAUCCCGUACUUGACGCGACAACCGGUGCUCUGUGAUACGUUCUCAAUGAGUCGAGUUGUUUGGGAAUGCAGCUCUAAAUGGGUGGUAAAUUCCAUCUAAGGCUAAAUAUUGGCGAGAGACCGAUAGCGAACAAGUACCGUGAGGGAAAGAUGAAAAGCACUUUGGAAAGAGAGUUAAACAGCACGUGAAAUUGUUAAAAGGGAAACGAUUGAAGUCAGUCGUGUGAAAGGUAUUCAGCCGUCUCUGGCGGUGUAUUUGCCUUUCACGGGUCAACAUCAGUUUGAUCCGGUAGAAAAAGGCGGGAGGAAGGUGGCACCCUCGGGUGUGUUAUAGCCUCCUGUCAUAUGUGCCGGACCAGACUGAGGAACGCAGCUUGCCGCAAGGCCGGGGUUCGCCCACGUACAAGCUUAGGAUGUUGACAUAAUGGCUUUAAACGACCCGUCU